This 492-nucleotide ribosomal RNA is filed under the name uncultured bacterium. RNAcentral describes it as "partial 16S ribosomal RNA". It matches the Rfam family "Bacterial small subunit ribosomal RNA", at positions 29 to 507 of the family's 1533-position model. The record is from RNAcentral.
AGUGAACGCUGGCGGUAGGCCUAACACAUGCAAGUCGAACGGCAGCACAGUAAGGGCUUGCUCUUACGGGUGGCGAGUGGCGGACGGGUGAGGAAUACAUCGGAAUCUACUUUUUCGUGGGGGAUAACGUAGGGAAACUUACGCUAAUACCGCAUACGACCUACGGGUGAAAGCAGGGGAUCUUCGGACCUUGCGCGAUUGAAUGAGCCGAUGUCGGAUUAGCUAGUUGGCGGGGUAAAGGCCCACCAAGGCGACGAUCCGUAGCUGGUCUGAGAGGAUGAUCAGCCACACUGGAACUGAGACACGGUCCAGACUCCUAUGGGAGGCAGCAGUGGGGAAUAUUGGACAAUGGGCGCAAGCCUGAUCCAGCCAUACCGCGUGGGUGAAGAAGGCCUUCGGGUUGUAAAGCCCUUUUGUUGGGAAAGAAAAGCAGCAGGUUAAUACCCCGCUGUUCUGACGGUACCCAAAGAAUAAGCACCGGCUAACUUCGUG